AUUGAACGCUGGCGGCAGGCUUAACACAUGCAAGUCGAGCGGGGUGAUGGUGCUUGCACUAUCACUUAGCGGCGGACGGGUGAGUAAUGCUUAGGAAUCUGCCUAUUAGUGGGGGACAACAUCUCGAAAGGGAUGCUAAUACCGCAUACGUCCUACGGGAGAAAGCAGGGGAUCACUUGUGACCUUGCGCUAAUAGAUGAGCCUAAGUCGGAUUAGCUAGUUGGUGGGGUAAAGGCCUACCAAGGCGACGAUCUGUAGCGGGUCUGAGAGGAUGAUCCGCCACACUGGGACUGAGACACGGCCCAGACUCCUACGGGAGGCAGCAGUGGGGAAUAUUGGACAAUGGGGGGAACCCUGAUCCAGCCAUACCGCGUGUGUGAAGAAGGCCUUAUGGUUGUAAAGCACUUUAAGCGAGGAGGAGGCUCUUUUGGUUAAUACCCAAGGUGAGUGGACGUUACUCGCAGAGUAAGCACCGGCUAACUCUGUGCCAGCCGCCGCCGUAA
This 503-nucleotide ribosomal RNA is filed under the name uncultured bacterium. RNAcentral describes it as "partial 16S ribosomal RNA". It matches the Rfam family "Bacterial small subunit ribosomal RNA", at positions 30 to 523 of the family's 1533-position model. The record is from RNAcentral.